AUAUAAUGUUUAAUUUCUUUAUUUCUAUCAAAUAUAAAACUUAGAUUACUUGAAUUCUUAACUAUUUUUCUGUGAGUCUCUUUGCUGAGAAAGUCCCACACCAAUCAAAUAAGUUUGGUUUUCUUCUCUUAAGUUCAAACCCCUUUCAUAUAUAAAAUUACAAAGCCAGCUUCAUCUAACCCAAGUCUGAAAGUCUCUUUCUUGAAUACCACCC
Molecule: long non-coding RNA, 214 nt
Filed under: Vigna radiata
Lineage: Eukaryota; Viridiplantae; Streptophyta; Magnoliopsida; Fabales; Fabaceae
Description: long non-coding RNA (VRAD_LNC008811)
Source: RNAcentral